This 207-nucleotide ribosomal RNA is filed under the name uncultured bacterium. Its description in RNAcentral is "partial 16S ribosomal RNA". It matches the Rfam family "Bacterial small subunit ribosomal RNA", at positions 568 to 774 of the family's 1533-position model. The record is from RNAcentral.
GGCGCAGGCGGAGAUGUAAGCCAGACGUGAAAUCCCGAAGCUCAACUUCGGAACUGCAUUUGGAACUACAUCCCUUGAGGAUAGGCGGAGAGAACGGAAUUCCACGUGUAGCGGUGAAAUGCGUAGAUAUGUGGAAGAACACCCGUGGCGAAGGCGGUUCUCUAGCUUAUUCCUGACGCUCAAGCCCGAAAGCGAGGGGAGCGAACA